RNAcentral lists this ribosomal RNA (492 nucleotides) under uncultured bacterium. Its description in RNAcentral is "partial 16S ribosomal RNA". It matches the Rfam family "Bacterial small subunit ribosomal RNA", at positions 29 to 507 of the family's 1533-position model. The record is from RNAcentral.
AGUGAACGCUGGCGGUAGGCCUAACACAUGCAAGUCGAACGGCAGCACAGUAAGAGCUUGCUCUUACGGGUGGCGGGUGGCGGACGGGUGAGGAAUACAUCGGAAUCUACUUUUUCGUGGGGGAUAACGUAGGGAAACUUACGCUAAUACCGCAUACGACCUACGGGUGAAAGCAGGGGAUCUUCGGACCUUGCGCGAUUGAAUGAGCCGAUGUCGGAUUAGCUAGUUGGCGGGGUAAAGGCCCACCAAGGCGACGAUCCGUAGCUGGUCUGAGAGGAUGAUCAGCCACACUGGAACUGAGACACGGUCCAGACUCCUACGGGAGGCAGCAGUGGGGAAUAUUGGACAAUGGGCGCAAGCCUGAUCCAGCCAUACCGCGUGGGUGAAGAAGGCCUUCGGGUUGUAAAGCCCUUUUGUUGGGAAAGAAAAGCAGCAGGUUAAUACCCCGCUGUUCUGACGGUACCCUAAGAAUAAGCACCGGCUAACUUCGUG